GAACGCACAUUGCGCCCUCUGGUAUUCCGGAGGGCAUGCCUGUUCGAGCGUCAUUUCAACCCUCAAGCUCUGCUUGGUAUUGGGCGACGUCCGCUGCCGGAUGCGCCUCGAAGAUCUCGGCGACGGCGUCUUAGCCUCGAGCGUAGUAGUAACAUCUCGCUUUGGAGCGCUAGGCGUUGGCCGCCGGACAAUCGACCUUUGGUCUAUUACUUCCAAGGUUGACCUCGGAUCAGGUAGGGAUACCCGCUGAACUUAAG
RNAcentral lists this unclassified non-coding RNA (257 nucleotides) under Guignardia gaultheriae. RNAcentral describes it as "sequence contains 5.8S rRNA gene". The stretch from base 1 to 53 matches the Rfam family "5.8S ribosomal RNA", at positions 102 to 154 of the family's 154-position model. Lineage: Eukaryota; Fungi; Ascomycota; Dothideomycetes; Botryosphaeriales; Phyllostictaceae. The record is from RNAcentral.